Molecule: ribosomal RNA, 435 nt
Filed under: uncultured bacterium
Lineage: Bacteria
Description: partial 16S ribosomal RNA
Rfam family: Bacterial small subunit ribosomal RNA
Source: RNAcentral
AGCGAACGCUGGCGGCAGGCUUAACACAUGCAAGUCGAGCGGGCAUCUUCGGAUGUCAGCGGCAGACGGGUGAGUAACACGUGGGAACGUACCCUUCGGUUCGGAACAACUCUGGGAAACUGGAGCUAAUACCGGAUACGCCCUUAUGGGGAAAGGUUUACUGCCGAAGGAUCGGCGCGCGUCUGAUUAGCUAGUUGGUGGGGUAACGGCCUACCAAGGCGACGAUCAGUAGCUGGUCUGAGAGGAUGAUCAGCGACACUGGGACUGAGAAACGGCCCAGACUACUAGGGAAGGCGGCAGUGGGGAAUAUUGGACAAUGGGCGCAAGCCUGAUCCCGCCAUGCCGGGUGAGUGAUGAAGGCCUUAGGGUUGUAAAGCUCUUUUGUCCGGGACGAUAAUGACGGUACCGGAAGAAUAAGCCCCGGCUAACUUCGUG